RNAcentral lists this ribosomal RNA (496 nucleotides) under uncultured bacterium. RNAcentral's name for it is "partial 16S ribosomal RNA". It matches the Rfam family "Bacterial small subunit ribosomal RNA", at positions 29 to 507 of the family's 1533-position model. The record is from RNAcentral.
AUGAACGCUGGCGGCGUGCCUAAUACAUGCAAGUCGAGCGAACGGACGAGAAGCUUGCUUUUCUGAUGUUAGCGGCGGACGGGUGAGUAACACGUGGAUAACCUACCUAUAAGACUGGGAUAACUUCGGGAAACCGGAGCUAAUACCGGAUAAUAUUUUGAACCGCAUGGUUCAAAAGUGAAAGACGGUCUUGCUGUCACUUAUAGAUGGAUCCGCGCUGCAUUAGCUAGUUGGUAAGGUAACGGCUUACCAAGGCAACGAUGCAUAGCCGACCUGAGAGGGGGAUCGGCCACACUGGAACUGAGACACGGUCCAGACUCCUACGGGAGGAAGCAGUAGGGAAUCUUCCGCAAUGGGCGAAAGCCUGACGGAGCAACGCCGCGUGAGUGAUGAAGGUCUUCGGAUCGUAAAACUCUGUUAUUAGGGAAGAACAUAUGUGUAAGUAACUGUGCACAUCUUGACGGUACCUAAUCAGAAAGCCACGGCUAACUACGUG